GCAGACACAUUCCAGCCAAUCAGCAGCAGACCCUCCCUCCCAGACCCUCCCACCUCCUGGACAGCUCACUAAGAAUGCAGCUUCACAAUGAAUGUAAAAUGGAUGCUGUCCAGGAGGUGGGAGGGUCUGGGAGGGAGGGUCUGCUGCUGACUGGCUGGAAUGUGUCUG
Molecule: non-coding RNA, 168 nt
Organism: Pelobates cultripes (western spadefoot toad)
Lineage: Eukaryota; Metazoa; Chordata; Amphibia; Anura; Pelobatidae
Source: the annotation of a GenBank genome assembly